AUUAAAUUUUUUUAGAGCUAAAAGAUAAAAUUAUUAAAUAGAUUAAUGCUUAAGCAACCAUGAAAGUAUGGUGCAUGGUCAAAGAUUGUCUCAACCUAAGAAAUUAGUAUAUCCUAUAUAAAUGGUAGAACAAACAAAAAAACUCUUCUUGAAGUUCUAUUGAAGUGACUAAAAAGUCUUAACUAUUACUAAAAACUAUCUCUAU
This 205-nucleotide long non-coding RNA is filed under the name Carica papaya (papaya). Its description in RNAcentral is "long non-coding RNA (CPAP_LNC002995)". The record is from RNAcentral. Lineage: Eukaryota; Viridiplantae; Streptophyta; Magnoliopsida; Brassicales; Caricaceae.